CAGCCUGGGUGACAGAACGAGACUCCUUCUCAAAACACACACACACACACACACACACACACACACACACAAGAAUUUAGCCAUCAAAGCACUUGAGCUAUUUUAUCCACAACAUUUUUAGUCCUCACAUGUAUUCUCAAUGUGUGGAAAUGUCAUACGUUUAGUAACUGUUCUGUAGGUUAGGAAGAAGCGUUGCAGGAGCGAUAAAUGCCUGAGCCUGGAAACACACCAGUCUGCUAGCUUUGGCUCUGCCACUCAACAGUUUGUGUCACCUUGGGAAAGUGCAUAAUCUGUGAGGCUAUUUCUUUAUUUACCAUAUGGGAUUAAUAACAGUCCCCAGCCUAUGAGAUGGCUGUAAGAAUGAAGUUUUGGAAUGCAUGGAAAGUCUCCAGGGCUCAGGAGCGUGCUGGGUGUGUUGCAAGUACACAGUGGGAGCUCUGGAGGAAGACCAAGCCAGUAACAGAACAAAACUAAAGAGAAUACAUUUUCUUCUUCCUGACUGGUAGUAUAAAUAUGCAACCUAGUGACACAUGUAAAGUAAACGAAUAGUAUAACUUGUGCUUACUCAAAUGUAUAAUUCAUGAGGUUAUUUUUUGAAUACUCAAUCAUUCUUUGCAAACUGAAGUUUGGCUUCACUUUUAUUUUUCAGAUGGAAAAGAGGCUGAGAUUUUUGUAUUUGAAGAAUUUAAAGACACAAUGACUCAAUUUUGGGUGUCCUUCCAGGAGGUGGGGCUUUCCUCUCAGUCUAAUAAGUCCACAAACUAAACUUUUAUCAUUUCCCCCUGGAAUAACCAGAAUCAGAGCAAGCGGGUCAUUUAAGUCAAAUUCAGGACAGGCCAAUUAAUAAAAGGAGAAUACGGAGUUCAUAUAGUUUCUGUGAAAGAUGUAACUGACAGUGGACUGGGAUGUUCACAGUUACAGGAUGUUAGGGCAAAAGAGGUAUUUUGAGAUAAUUUAGUCCAAGAAACAGACCCGGAGAGGUCAAAAUACAAACUCAGAGUUAGGCAGCUUAUCGAUGGCAGGAUUGGAACUCCAACCUUGAACCCACUCCCAGUUUUAUAGAAGGACUCCAGGAUUUGACACUGUGCCUGCCCUCCUCCUUGGCAGGAGUUCAUGUGGGAAACCAAGUCACAACUGGAAGGCUGCUUAGCGAUCACAGAAUUAAAACAAGAACCUUCAUUCCACUUGGUGAUUCCCCUGUGGGCCCAUCUUUCAGAUACACAAAUUCUGACUCCUCUGGUUCUCUUUUUCUAAACUCUGUGAAGAAAGACCACUGGGUCUGUAGUUGGGUCAUAAAAUGCUUAAUUAAGGUAUGCUAUUUUGGGGUUAAAUGCUGAGCCCAACACACAUUCUUGAUGGGAUAUCAGUACAUCCCAGGUCAUGUGAUAGUUCCCAUUGCCGAGUGUUUAUUUGCUGUGAAUGUGUGACGUGACGUGUUGUACUGAGCACUUUGCAUUCUCUAUCUCUUUAUCUACAAUCUUGCAAGCCAUCUCUGAUGGGCUGCUAGUUUCCACCUGCUAACGUGGUCUUUUCCCCUUGUCUGCGACCCUUUGUCUGGGCAGAGCCAUACGGCUGCUUAGACAUCCCACCUCUUCUCUUUCAGCCCCCAGGAUCCCCAUACAUGUGAUUAUGGAGAGCUAAGAGGGCCCUGGGAGCACAUGGGACUGAGCCUGGCUCAGCCAAGUUCCUAUUUACCCUCUUAACGUGGAUUUCAGCCUCGGUGUUGGCAUGAGAGUCCAUCUGUUAAAAAUGACUUCAGGAGAAGGAAGAGGGAAUAAUAUCCACUGAGUCCUUACCAAGCGUGGCAUGUUACAUAUUCCACAAUCUGGGAGGCAGAAAUUGUGAGCCCAUUUUGCAGAUGAGGAAGUUGACACAUAAAAAAGUUAAGUAGCUUUGCCUAAGGUCACAGAGCCAGCAUGUGAUGGAGGUGAGACUCAACCCCUCUCUGUUUUUCAUGGCAACAUGCUCUCAGGUUUAUACCGCUUUAAGAAAAGUGGGAAAAGAAAGAAAAAAAAGGCAUAAGGACGUGGGUUACAUGCAAUUUUAGUACUGUACGAUUGCUAUUACUAAAGAUACCACCAAAGAAAGUAUGGGUUUUGCUUUGCUGGGAAUUUUAGAGGUCUCGGUGGUCAGUUCUCCUACUUAAGGUAUCCUUUAUCUGAAAGGACCUCUGAAGGGUUUCUGUGAUUUGUGGUUGCAUGAAGGUCACCCCAUUGCUACUCGUCUUUAUGAAACAGUGACAAUAGGGACUAAGAAGAGAAAGGGGCAGGUAUAGAGAGCGCGUGGAAUGCUAUGGCAGCUGGGAGGGGUCUGGGCUGGGCAGCUGCUCCUGCCAUUCCUCUUCUCCUGAGAAUAUCAUAUCUGAGCACAGAGCGCUGGAGGAGGGAGGAUAGGAAAGGAAACAGAUGGCCUCUGCAUGCACAAAAGGACAGCUGGGCUCUGUACGUCUCACCCUCCACAGAGGUAAGCUGGAGGCUGCGGCCUCAUUUCUAACUGAAUUCCGCUACUGUCCCCAGGACCACUCCUUGGGAAGACCUAGUUAGAGCCAUAUCAUGAUAUGAUAUGAGCCAAUUUUUGUCAGUCUCUGUGCUGCACAUGAUAUGGCCAUUGUCUUGUCAUCAUUUCUGCUUAACAGACGAGGAAACAGAUGUCUCAUGGCCUGUAGGUGGCAGAGGAAGGACUUGAACUGAGGCCCAUCUGUACUCAAGCCCCGGCUGAUCUCCACCACGACAGUCUGGUUGUCUAGUCCUGAAGUCACCUACAUGGGUACUAAACCCGGCUUCACCAAUGAAUACCCUGUAAACUCUCAUUGAGUUUCAGCUUCCUAAUAUUACAAAUAAUGAAGGUUAUAGUACCGACUUUGUGGGAUUGCCAUGAAGAUUUAGUAAAAUUACCCACCUGAAAAUCUUGGCCAGAUCAUAGGUGAAUGUUACGGCUUGAGUUGUGUGCCCCUCCAACAGUUAUAUUGCUGUCUUCAGCCCUACUGCCUUAGAAUGUGACUGUAUUUGGAAAUAGAGUCUUUGAGAGGUCAUCAAAUUAAAAUGAAGCCAUGAGCGUGGGCCCAAAUCCAGUAUGAUUGAUGUCCUUGCUAAAAGGGGAAAUUUGGACACUGAGAUCGACAGGCACAUAAGGAAGAUGAAGCAAAGACACACAGGGAGAAGGCGAUAAGUGAAGGAUUGGAGAAAUACAUCCACAAACCGAGGAAUGCCCAGGGCUCCCAGAAGCAGGAGAGAGGCGGGAGCAGGCCCUUCCCUCGCAGCUUCAGAGGGAGCAUGGCUCACCCAGCACCUUGAUGUCAGGCUUCUGGCCUCCAGAGGGAUAAGACAAUAAAUGUCUGUUGUUUAAAGCUACACUUUUUGUGGUAUUUUGUUGCAGCAUCUCUGGAAUAUUAAUACAGCACACAAUCCAAUGUUCUUGUUCUUCCUUAGGCCAUUCAUUCAACAAAUAUUUCAAACUAAGUGCUGGGGAUUUGUUCAGAGGUGAACAGAUCCUGUUUCUGCUCUCGAGUGGCUCAUGUCCUAGUUAGGGACACAAACACAUCAACAAGCAAUGAUAGUAGAGUGUGGUUGGUGCCUGGCCAUGGGCAAGGCAAGGGCAGGGUGCUUCGGGGGUUUCAAGGAGGGGCCCUUAAAUUAGCGUGCGCAUCAGAGAAGCACAGCUGCUUCGAGGGAGUGAUAUCCCAAAAAUGAUGGAGUAGUCGUUUUAUUUGGAAAAGAACAUGCCUGUUAUGGUGCAAGGGCGUUAAUGACUUUUUGUUGUUAUAAUUGAACAAGGACAGUUCCAAGUAUAUAUAAAAAAUGACAGGAACAAGCGAGAUUAGAAGGGAAGCCAACGUGUUUGUUUCACUUAGCAGUUCUGCCUCCAGGAUCGCUUUUAGCUGAGAUGUUUCCUGAUUAAGGUUGGGGGAUGUUUGGUAGUGACAAGUCGAGGUUGAAUAGGGUGGGGUACUGAUGAGAUCAGGGAACAUUUAUCAACAGGAAAGACUGAUGUCUUCUAAAGGCAGAAUACUCCCUUUAUUUAACCCUUCCUCUUUCAUCAACAUGUGCCACAUGGCAAGAAAAGAUUCCAAAGCCGUUGCUGCUGGGUGAGGUUGUGUAGCCUGUGGACUGCACAAGGACCCCUGACCAAGGGGAGAAUGGGGACUGAAAUCCAGCCUAUGCUCCCUUGCACAGGCUGUGUGUCUUGGGAUACCUCUUUGUUUUGCACAAACAUACCACCUGCCUGCUCAGUCAUCUGCCACUGACUCAGGUUCUACCCAGAAAGGGCACCUUUUUCUAAUUCAUGCAAAGUGCCAUCUAUGUAGCAUGGUCUUUGGCUCUGGCUGCAUGAGGAAGCAUUUGUUUCUUUUGAAACCAAGGCCAUUCUACCAGCUGGAAGUCUGCCAAGGAGUCCCUGUUACACAAUUGGAGCCUGGUUCUCUGGCAACCCUAAUGUGUACUCCCAUGGCAUUAGCUAAAUUACCACCACCCAGUUAACUUGCUAGCCUGCACUCUUACUCAGGGCUUUCAGCUUAUGCACCUGAAGUCAAGACCAUAUGUGGUUUUUAUGGAGCCAGAAAGUUAGGGAUGCAAUAAAGCGCUAAGUAACUGGCUAAUAAAUGUUAGUUAUAUGUUUUGUCUGGGUUGCUAGGACAAUCUUCUACAAAUUCUACUUUGUCAUAUAUUUAAACAUUGAAUACUUUGUAAAUUACUUUGAGCUUCAAGCUUCUUCUCCUUUAGGGCCCUCUCCCCCCAAUUUGCUUUGGGAGUGAGGUCAACGGAUGUGCUGUGGGGGCUCGGGGUGUGCUCCAGAAUAUGAACAGACAACAGGUUCUAACGCUGAUUGUCUGGAGGAUCGCAAGCAAUGCAACCUGUCUGUCUGAGAGCAGAGGGGAAAAUAACAGUAUAGGGAUAGUGCGGGCAUUACAAGUAGAUGCGCAUGGCCUUCCAGACAGCAGCGCGGGGAGCGGAAGGAGCUGGGGUGGGGUGCUUGGUAAGGAAAUAGGAUCCCCAUUCUGGGGUGGCUCCAAGGGAGGGAAAACCUGUUCACCAGGGAAAUAGGAGUUUCUUUUGUGUCAACAGUCUGUGGGUUCAUAUGAAGACAUUUCAGCAAUAAUAACAUAAUUAAAAAUCACUGACUUAUAACCCUACUUGCAUGGUACAGAAUCUUCAGUUUCUCCUCGCUCCCUGCCCUGCUUAUUUCUGGAAGCCUCAUGUCAGCUCAAGAGCACUUCUUUCCUAUUUCACCCUUUAGCUCCUUCCUCCUGAGGCUGCUGUCCAAGCUGCUUAAGGUGCACGAAGACAGAGUCUCUGCUAUGGUGUGUACCGGGGUAGCAAAGGGCCUGUGUCUAGGCCUUGCUGGCCUUCCCUUCCCUGUGUUCUGGGUCCCUUCAGGUUCAUGGAACAAGCUAUGCUGUGCCCUACCCUCCUGCCCUUAUGCCACCUUGCCACUGGGACCCCAUGAAAUGCUGCAGGUGCUCUGGCAUUUCUCUGAAUCCCUCAUAAAGUUAGCUCCUAGCUGUUGCUUCUCUCUGCAGGAGGCUCUGCCACAAAACCAAGGGGCUAGGGAGGGAGAUGGGACCCCAGGCCUUCCUUCCCACUCUGCCUCUGCCCUUAGGAGAUUGUCCACAACAUGUAGGCACCAGGACCUCCAGUGUCCCAGCCAACCUUCUAGGGCCAGCGUGCUCCCUCCUUCUACCAUGAAGCCAAGCCACGUGUCAUCCCCGCCUCAAAGCCACCCACAGUGCUUUGUUCUUGUCUUGUGUUGCUUACCAUGGUUUCUCCAUCACAAGAGAUUUUUGAUACUCUUCUUCUUCCCUUUUCCUAAAAGAUAAGCUGAGUUUGAAUUGGGAUUAUAUUAUAUAUUAUUCAUUUUUUUAUAUUUGAUGUAUUGUGCUUAACACAAUGCCCGGCAAAACGUAGGUGCUGAAUAAAGAUUUAUGAAGGGAAAGAAGGAAACGGUGAAAAAGCCAGACUAUGCUUUUAUGGCACAUUCACCCAGGUGGGUUUGACAGUGAGUGACCAAAAGUUUUUGUGGAAGAGCGUGAACAAAUCAUGAAACUGACUAGUAUUGGUGAUCCCUUUUCCUUCUGUGCUGUCAUCAGUGAGUUAAUCUAAACUGUCAUUAGCCUACCUGUGUUUUUAGCUUGUUUGCUGCUUUGCAUUAACACAUUCUGCAAGCCUGCAGCUAAAACCGUGAAGUGUUUCUUUAUUACAUGGUGUCUUUCCAAGCAGCCCAGCGACAUCGGGGAGAAAGAGCCUGGAUCUGGAGUGAGACAGAUUUGAAUCUGUCUGAAUCUCACUGAUGGAGCUCACAAGCCUGGGGAACCUUAGGCCAGUUCCUCAACUUCUCUAAACCCCGACUUCCUCUUCUGUCACGUGGACAAUCGUGUUACGCACCCACAGGCUGUUCUGGGGAUUAAGUAUUGAGAUGCAGGCCGAGCACAAUGCUGGCGCAGAGAUCCUGCACAAAUCAUUGUUAGCUUUUACACAAUUAUUAUCCUGGUUGUUGUUCUGCCUUCUCAGAUGUUAUCUUUCUGCACUCACAUAUUUUAAUCUUUGUCGUUUAUCUUUAUGUGGAAACCUUAUUGCAUCCCCUUGAUUAUGUCAAAGAUGUUCUCUGGUUCUUUCUUGAAUUUUCUCGUACCACUUCUGAGUGAAGAAAAGGAAAGAAAGCUGCAAUGAUACGAUCAAGGCUUUGGUGGCAGGGGUGUUUUCUGUCUUCCCGUGCUUGGCUGGGUUUCAGGGAAAUCCAGAAAAAUACCAGCUGGCAGAAGGUAUCAUUGUGUUUGGUUAAAGGAACAUUGAUGUAUACCCUUUUCCAGAGAAGUGAGGAGACCAAACCACUGGAGGAAAGAAUGUGGUUUUGUGUCACACGUGAAAAGAAAGCUGGGAGCAAGGGGAGAAGAAUAUUUCAGGCCAGAGCAUUUGAAUGCAACUGAAGGCUUCUGUUCCAAACUAAGUGACUGAAGACAUUUACAAACUAGAUGAAAAUAACUCUUUUAUAAACCCUAUGGGACCCCUCCUUGCCUGAUGAAAUGAUUGGAAAAUUAGGUAGACUAACUAGUUUUGCUGAUUGAGAAAAAUAUAGCCAAUUUAAACCUGUGAUUGAACUCUUGAGAUAAUAAACUCCCCCAUUCUAAUGAGUCUGGGUUAUAAUCAGGAUGUGGCCCUUUCUGUUCUCAUGCUAGCUAUUUUGGGUUAUCUUUCCUGAAAGCAGACGUCAUUGUUACAUUUGUAGAUGUCACAUUUGGUUCUGCACGCCUUGGGUGUCUGUCUUUGUGUGCAGGAAACAAAUAUAAUUUUAAAAAAUGCAGACUUUCUUUUCUUUUCUUUUC
This is a long non-coding RNA of Cercocebus atys (sooty mangabey), 7315 nucleotides long. RefSeq lists it as uncharacterized. Lineage: Eukaryota; Metazoa; Chordata; Mammalia; Primates; Cercopithecidae. The transcript is spliced from 3 exons. The record is from RefSeq and is a predicted model, not a curated record.